This 204-nucleotide non-coding RNA is filed under the name Andreesenia angusta. RNAcentral's name for it is "Eubacterium angustum T-box sequence". It matches the Rfam family "T-box leader". Rfam says of the family: Uncharged tRNA acts as the effector for transcription antitermination of genes in the T-box leader family. The record is from RNAcentral. Lineage: Bacteria; Bacillati; Bacillota; Tissierellia; Tissierellales; Gottschalkiaceae.
ACGAUAGCUAGGAAAGAGAGGGAGUAAAUCACUAUCCUUUACAGAGAGUGGAUUGAGGCUGAGAAAUCCGCAGGGCAAUGGGAUUGAAAGUAGCUCUGGAGCACCUCUGCUGAACGGAGUAGGCGGAGGCGGGUGAUUGCGUUAAAGAUCGUGAGUGCCGGAACUUCCGGAAAUAGGGUGGUAACGCGAACCUUCGUCCUUAUA